AUUGAACGCUGGCGGCAUGCCUUACACAUGCAAGUCGAACGGCAGCACGGGAGCAAUCCUGGUGGCGAGUGGCGAACGGGUGAGUAAAGUAUCGGAACGUGCCCAGUCGUGGGGGAUAACGUAGCGAAAGUUACGCUAAUACCGCAUACGAUCUAUGGAUGAAAGCGGGGGAUCGCAAGACCUCGCGCGAUUGGAGCGGCCGAUAUCAGAUUAGGUAGUUGGUGGGGUAAAGGAUCACCAAGCCGACGAACUGUAGCGGGUCUGAGAGGACGGCCAGCCACACUGGGACUGAGACACGGCCCAGACUCCUACGGGAGGCAGCAGUGGGGAAUUUUGGACAAUGGGCGAAAGCCUGAUCCAGCCAUGCCGCGUGCAGGAUGAAGGCCUUCGGGUUGUAAACUGCUUUUGUACGGAACGAAAAGGUUUGGGCUAAUAAGCUGAGCUCAUGACGGUCCGUAAGAAUAAGCACCGGCUAACUACGUGCCAGCAGCCGCAGUAA
Molecule: ribosomal RNA, 499 nt
Filed under: uncultured bacterium
Lineage: Bacteria
Description: partial 16S ribosomal RNA
Rfam family: Bacterial small subunit ribosomal RNA
Source: RNAcentral